This 76-nucleotide transfer RNA is filed under the name Proteiniphilum sp. RNAcentral describes it as "tRNA-His". It matches the Rfam family "tRNA". Rfam says of the family: Transfer RNA (tRNA) molecules are approximately 80 nucleotides in length. Their secondary structure includes four short double-helical elements and three loops (D, anti-codon, and T loops). The record is from RNAcentral. Lineage: Bacteria; Pseudomonadati; Bacteroidota; Bacteroidia; Bacteroidales; Dysgonomonadaceae.
GGUGGUUGUAGCUCAGUUGGUUAGAGCGACGGAUUGUGGUUCCGUAGGCCGCGGGUUCGAAUCCCGUCUUCCACCC